CUAAUAUUUACAAAUAUAACUCUCUUACGGGGUUGUUUUCUCUUACUAAAACAUAUACUACUUUAGUCUGGAAAAUCGGGUGCCCUCAGCAUUCGAAUUGUAGUCUGGAAAAGCGUCCUCAGCGGCGGACCGGGCCUAAGUCCCCUGGAAGGGGGGCGCUAGAGAAGGUGAGAGCCUCAUCCUGCCUGGACCCUGUCGCACCACGAGGUGCUGUCUAUGAGUCGGGUUAUUUGGGAAUGCAGCCCAAAUCAGGCGGUAAUUUCCGUCCAAAGCUAAAUACGGGCAAGAGACCGAUAGCGAAUAAGUACUGUGAGGGAAAGAUGAAAAUGACUUUGAAAAGAGAGUUAAAGAGUGCUUGAAAUUGUCGGAAGGGAAGCGGAUGGGGCCGGCGAUGUGCCCCAGUCGGAUGUGGAACGGCCAAAAGUCGGUCCGCCAUUCGGCUUAGGGUGCGGACCGACGCGGAUUGCAGCGGAGGCCCAAGCCCAGGCUUUUGAUACGCCUGUGGAGAUGUCGUCGCACCGAUUGUGGACUGCAGCGCGCUCCGUCAUAGUGUGUUUCGGCACCUGCGCGCUCCGGGCGUCAGCCAACGAGCUCCACAUUUUUCCCGUCUUGAAACACAG
This 620-nucleotide non-coding RNA is filed under the name Ricinus communis (castor bean). RNAcentral's name for it is "Eukaryotic large subunit ribosomal RNA". It matches the Rfam family "Eukaryotic large subunit ribosomal RNA", at positions 1 to 664 of the family's 3401-position model. Lineage: Eukaryota; Viridiplantae; Streptophyta; Magnoliopsida; Malpighiales; Euphorbiaceae. The record is from Rfam by way of RNAcentral.